Molecule: transfer RNA, 74 nt
Filed under: Escherichia phage SUSP2
Lineage: Duplodnaviria; Heunggongvirae; Uroviricota; Caudoviricetes; Andersonviridae
Description: tRNA-Ile
Rfam family: tRNA
About the family: Transfer RNA (tRNA) molecules are approximately 80 nucleotides in length. Their secondary structure includes four short double-helical elements and three loops (D, anti-codon, and T loops).
Source: RNAcentral
GUUGGGAAAGCUCAUAUGGAUGUAGCACUCGGCUGAUAACCGAGAGGCAGAGGGUUCGAAUCCCUCUCCUAACA